Xenopus tropicalis (tropical clawed frog) is the source of this 858-nucleotide long non-coding RNA. RefSeq lists it as uncharacterized. The record is from RefSeq and is a predicted model, not a curated record. The transcript has 3 exons. NCBI's taxonomy places the organism in Eukaryota, Metazoa, Chordata, Amphibia, Anura, Pipidae.
CUAAGGUGGGCCCUGACCAAUCAUCUUACACAGGCACCUAAAGGGUGUUUCACCAUUAAAUUCCCUGUUUUGCAACUAAGGGCAUUUAGCUCAAGGAAGCCUGCAGGUGAUGUCAUAGUGGGUUCCCAUGGCAACACUGAGGUCUUUAGACCCCCCAUGUGGUCAACUCUUAUUGCAAAACCUUUGCAACUAAGUCAUUGAACUCCAAGGAGGAUGAUGUCACAAUGGGUUUCCAUGGCAACACUGAUGUCACAAUACCAGCCGUGUGUGCGUAACUGUUACAACUUGGGGAAACACUUCAGAUUGCUUUUUAGAGCAGAAGAGGUAAGUUGUCCCUGCUAUGGGCUCCUCCCUGUUCCAAUUCUAAUUUGUUUUAAUUAACUAGAAAAGAUACUUUUUACUCUAAAUACUUAGGCCGCUCCUAUGAAUUAGAUUUCAGUAUGAAACGUUGCGCUCUACAUUGCCCCAUAUCUAAGCAUUUAUUUCCAUUAAACAAACAGGGAUAUGUAUAAAUAUAUGGGGAACCUAAUGCCCCACAGACUGACCCCCAAUAAUCACUGCCGGGGUUUUUCUCACAUUAUUCGCUGUGUUUUUACUUACUAAUUGCUGUGUUUCUCUUUCCUUCCAUAUAACAACAGUUUUGACCGUCUGCAACAAUGGCAUCAAGACUCUGCGACAGUUUCCUUGACUGUGUCCUUGACUGCGUGCGGGGUCUCUGCACGCGUCUCGGCUACAGCAAGAAGACUGAAAAAUGCCCUAAAUGGGAAGCAGUCCUCUACGUCGUUGAGGAUGAAUCAAUAACUUUCAUCCCUACGAGGAUAAUUAAUUAGGUUUAGGUUAAUAGGUUAGGUUAGGAAA